GUCGAGGGGCAGCAUCAUCAAAGCUUGCUUUGAUGGAUGGCGACCGGCGCACGGGUGAGUAACACGUAUCCAACCUGCCGACAACACUGGGAUAGCCUUUCGAAAGAAAGAUUAAUACCGGAUGGCAUAGUUUUCCCGCAUGGGAUAAUUAUUAAAGAAUUUCGGUUGUCGAUGGGGAUGCGUUCCAUUAGGCAGUUGGCGGGGUAACGGCCCACCAAACCUACGAUGGAUAGGGGUUCUGAGAGGAAGGUCCCCCACAUUGGAACUGAGACACGGUCCAAACUCCUACGGGAGGCAGCAGUGAGGAAUAUUGGUCAAUGGACGAGAGUCUGAACCAGCCAAGUAGCGUGAAGGAUGACUGCCCUAUGGGUUGUAAACUUCUUUUAUACGGGAAUAAAGUGAGCCACGUGUGGCUUUUUGUAUGUACCGUAUGAAUAAGGAUCGGCUAACUCCGUGCCAGCAGCCGCGGUAAUACGGAGGAUUCGAGCGUUAUCCGGAUUUAUUGGGUUUAAAGGGAGCGUAGGCGGGUUGUUAAGUCAGUUGUGAAAGUUUGCGGCUCAACCGUAAAAUUGCAGUUGAUACUGGCGACCUUGAGUGCAACAGAGGUAGGCGGAAUCCGUGGUGUAGCGGUGAAAUGCUUAGAUAUCACGAAGAACUCCGAUUGCGAAGGCAGCUUACUGGAUUGUAACUGACGC
Molecule: ribosomal RNA, 695 nt
Filed under: uncultured bacterium
Lineage: Bacteria
Description: bacterial SSU rRNA
Rfam family: Bacterial small subunit ribosomal RNA
Source: RNAcentral